UCUUCUACAGGAUUCCAGGAAACCAAACGUACCCACAGCAGACUGUCCGAUAGAGACAGGAGAAGGAGGCAGGGAGGGCAUCAACCUCCCGUUUCUUGGAAAGAAAUAGCUUCUCUAGACUGCCUGCUGUAAGUGGCCAUUCCCCCAGAACGUUAUGCUCCAUUGAAAUUACUUAAAUAAACAACUUUGGGUUUUGUUUUGUAAAACGCAGGGUUUCAUGUAUCUCAGACUGGCCUCAAACUUCUUACAUAACCUUGAACCCCUGAGCAGCACAACUACCUCCUGAGUGCUGCUUCUCACCACCUUUAACUCGGGUUCAUAACUCCAGACGAAAAAAAAGGCCGUGUCCAGUCCUCUCGAGAUUAGGGAUGAACUUUAAUUAAUUAAUUUGUAUUCAAUCCCGCAAAAUGUGGCGAUCCCCUUUCAAACGUCGUGCAUAGGGAUAAGAAGAGAUGCAUAUAAAACAGCCAGAAUGAAGGAUCCUUAGCAAGGCGGCAGGGCAUUCGGGUUUGGACAAGAAACUCACGGCUGCUCAGCAGCCUCCUGACAUCUUCACACACUACCUGAAUUGGCCAGCAGAGGGCGACGAGGGAGCCGUCAAGCACCACAUGGAGCCACACCCAGAUCAUGGUUGCUUUAUUUCAGUGUCCCUUCCUGAGUUCUCAAAAAGACUCGAAAUGAGAAAUUCUUGUAAGAGAAAAAAGAAUGAGAGAAAUCGGAACAAUCUUUUUAUUGAGAUAAUUGCAUAAACAUACAACUGGGCAUUUUCAACCUGGAGGAAUUUCUCUUCAGCAUCAUGCGACGGUCCUGCCUACUCCCCAAACUUCACACCAUCUGAUCCAGGGUUAAAGUUACAACUGGAAAAACAAAACCAUCUGGGUCCUUCAGUUCUUCCUCUGGCACGUCUACAGUUGCGGAAGACAGUGAGCACACAUACUGUUCACCAGCUCUGAAUGUUAAUAAAAAUUAGCAAAUUA
Molecule: non-coding RNA, 977 nt
Organism: Rattus norvegicus (Norway rat)
Lineage: Eukaryota; Metazoa; Chordata; Mammalia; Rodentia; Muridae
Source: RefSeq, a predicted model, not a curated record